UUGGAGUCUGCAACCCGACUCCAUGAAGCUGGAUUCGCUAGUAAUCGCGCAUCAGCCACGGCGCGGUGAAUACGUUCCCGGGCCUUGUACACACCGCCCGUCAAGCCAUGGAAGCCGGGAGUGCCUGAAGUGCGUGAGCGCAAGCAGCGCCCUAAGGUAAAAACCGGUGACUGGGGCUAAGUCGUAACAAGGUAUC
Molecule: ribosomal RNA, 196 nt
Filed under: uncultured bacterium
Lineage: Bacteria
Description: partial 16S ribosomal RNA
Rfam family: Bacterial small subunit ribosomal RNA
Source: RNAcentral